This 253-nucleotide ribosomal RNA is filed under the name uncultured bacterium. RNAcentral's name for it is "partial 16S ribosomal RNA". It matches the Rfam family "Bacterial small subunit ribosomal RNA", at positions 524 to 776 of the family's 1533-position model. The record is from RNAcentral.
UACGUACCGUCCAAACGUUAUUCGGAAUUACUGGGCUUAAAGGGCACGUAGGCGGCGCUGUCAGUCGGGUGUGAAAUCCCUCGGCUCAACCGAGGAAUUGCGCCCGAUACUGCAGUGCUUGAGGGAGACAGAGGUAAGCGGAACUGAUGGUGGAGCGGUGAAAUGCGUUGAUAUCAUCAGGAACACCAGUGGCGAAAGCGGCUUACUGGGUCGCUUCUGACGCUGAGGUACGAAAGCUAGGGGAGCGAAGGGG